GCACACCUUGGAACCAUCUGGCACACCUCUGCAAAAAUGGCACAGAUGAACAGCAAGUGGAGUCGACCCCAUGUAUCUUUGAGUCGACCCCAGGAGAGGAGCCGACCCCAAAGAACCUUGAGCCGACCCCAGUUUCAAGCCUCAAGAAACAACUCUCUGGAAUUUACUGAGAGGGCCGACCCCAAGUUUCCUUGAGCUGACCCCAGAUGGAGCCGACCCCAGGAACACUUGAGUCGACCCCAAAGGAGCCGACCUCAACUGCACAUGAGUCGACCCCAAGGAUAUGUGCUCAAAAACCACGUCUCUGGAAUCCCUGAGAGGGUCGACCCCAAUGGAGCUUGAGUCGACCCCAGUGAAAACAGUCGAAAAUGCAAGGUUCUAUGGUUCCUGAGAAGGCCGACUCCACUGUAGCAGGGGUCGACCCCAGUGAAGUUUGAGUCGACCCCAGUGUGAGUUGGGUCGACCCCAAGUCCAAUAAACAGUAAAUUGAGUCAACCCCAGCACGGACAAGGGCAUAACGGCUAGUUCUGCAGAAGUGCUUUUUGACCUCCCAACGGCUAGUAACGGCUAGUUUUUCAAAUCUAACCAAUGGAGAGUGACCAAUAGAGGUGGGGAAGUAUUUAAAGUGACACUGUUCAUCAGAGGAAGGAUCUUUUGCCAAGAAAUCAAUAGCAUAUUAAAGAGAAAGCAAGUCCAAGUGCUCUUCAUUAAGGUUCUUCAUUCAAGUCUCAAAAAAGGNGGUGGUUGAGCAAUCUGAGUGUGCAUUCAACAGCUCCACCAACCCAUUGUGAAGUGAAGUGUUCGUCCGAUUCCUGUCUAACUAAAAAU
This 828-nucleotide long non-coding RNA is filed under the name Phoenix dactylifera (date palm). RNAcentral describes it as "long non-coding RNA (PDAC_LNC017347)". The record is from RNAcentral. Lineage: Eukaryota; Viridiplantae; Streptophyta; Magnoliopsida; Arecales; Arecaceae.